Bombina bombina (fire-bellied toad) is the source of this 426-nucleotide long non-coding RNA. RefSeq lists it as uncharacterized. NCBI's taxonomy places the organism in Eukaryota, Metazoa, Chordata, Amphibia, Anura, Bombinatoridae. The record is from RefSeq and is a predicted model, not a curated record. The transcript is spliced from 2 exons.
AUAAUUCACAGAUAAAUUGUACUGAUGCACCACCUUUAUAUUAAUGCUCCAGUAAAAUAAAGGAAGAAAAUAUCUGGUCUGGAAUAAGGAAUAAAGAGCUGUACCGGAUGGGUGAAAUACCUUUACAUUGGAUACUCCACAGGAGAGAGAAACAACGCUGGAUACUGGUUCAGGAGAAGGCUGUUUAUAGACCCCACGUUAUACACUUACCUCAUAUCGACUGAGGUAACACCAAGUACAGAUAUUUCAAAUUAAGGAAAAUGGUGAAAGAUGACAUCUCAAGAAUGGAAGGAGGACAGUUAAGUGACAACAAAUAUCCACUGAACAUCUGUGCAUGGGUUAAUAGGAUCUGAUUGCUGCCACUUAAGUUAUAUCUGAUGUUACUGUUAUAAUUCAAUAAAUACAACCCAAUCAGUAUUUUCCUAA